RNA transcript from Oncorhynchus kisutch (coho salmon), 5450 nucleotides. It is a transcript of the gene named FTO alpha-ketoglutarate dependent dioxygenase, with no coding region annotated. Lineage: Eukaryota; Metazoa; Chordata; Actinopteri; Salmoniformes; Salmonidae. The record is from RefSeq and is a predicted model, not a curated record. The transcript has 11 exons.
ACUACAACUACCAAGAUGCGCUGCAGUGAACGCGGGUGUGUAAACACAACUCUAGGAAACAUGAAACGAUCGGGUGGCAGUGAGAGCGAGAAGAGAAGAAAGAGGCGCAGGCUGCUGCAGGAGCUAGGAGACCAGCGCAUCCCCUACCUCGGGCCCUCAGACCAUGGCUUCCAACAGCUGUGGGAGACUAGCUACUCUGGCCUGGCUCUGCGGCGGUCCUGCUCCCUGCCUGAGGAGCUCCAUGGUCGGGUGGAGGCUGCUCUGUUCACCCUGCGGCGGAGGGGCUGUUUCCUGAGGGACCUGGUGAAGGUGAGGGACCGAGACGUCUUCACCGCCGUGUCCCGGGUGCUGCUGGGUCAGCCAGGAACCACCUACCGCUAUCUGGACACGCGGCUCUUCACCAUCCCCUGGCACACAGACGAGCAGAGAGGAACCUGCUGCGACCCAGACCUCAGCGCCGCCUGCAAAGCACUCUGGGAGCUCAACUGCUUCUUUUGCUCUGAUGUCGGAGACAGGAAGGAGGGGGAUGUUUUCAAGCAGUGCAGGAAAGAGUUGGUUGGUGCUAUAGAGUCUAAACCCAGUGUAGAAGGAGACACGGAGUCUAAAGAUAGUGAGGAGUCCAAACCCAGUGAUGAUGGAGGAGACUCUGAGUCCAAGCAGAGUGAGGAGGGAGAGACUGAGUCAAAGACUGAGUCAAAGCACAGCGACGAUUGGGACAUAGAGUCAAAACACAGUGAAGAGGAAGGCUCAUCGUCCAAACAGGAUGCAGCGUGGGAGUCAAGACACGGCGACGAGAUGGGAGAUAAGAAGACUAAACAAACUGAAUUGGGGAGUCCAACGGCGUCAAAACAACACAGUGAGGGAAAACACACGGGCUGGAAGCACAGGCCAGCUGGCAGCACAGAGACAGAGACCACAGUCCUAGGCCCUCAGGAGAAGCCUGUGGCUGAGCUAAAACACAGUCUCUCUGGGUACCACAUUGAAGAUGAGGAGGAUGAAGACCAGCAGAGUGGCCAGGGAUGCUCUAACCUCAACCCUGCUAAGACAUCCUGUCCUGGCCCGACCCAGUUCAACGUCACCCUGCUCAACUACAUGGACCCAGCAGCUAUGAGCCAGCUGAAAGAAGAGCCGUAUUAUGGGAUGGGUAAGAUGGCUGUGGGCUGGCACCAUGAUGAGAACCUGGUCAGCUUAUCUCCUGUGGCCGUCUACAGCUACAGCUGUCAUGACGAUGACAAAGCAGGUGUGAGCUCGGAGGAGGGUCCUGCAGAGAAGGGCUGCUGGAGGAUUGGUCUAAAGGUGGCCUGGGACAUCCACACCCCUGGACUGACCCUCCCACUGCAGUCCGGAGACUCCUACUACCUUAGAGAUGACCUGAACAGGACCCAUCAGCACUGUGUUCUGGCUGGAGACUCAGCCCGCUUCAGCUCUACACACAGAGUGGCGGAGUGUUCCACCGGGACCCUGGACUACAUCCAGUCCCGCUGCCGGGAGGCCCUGUCUAACCUGAGCACAGACCCAGAAACAGGGACCCACAGCCUGCUGUCUCUGCUGCCAGCUACCCUGCAAGGCUACGAGGAUAUACACAAUGAGGUGGAGUUUGAGUGGCUGAGGCAGUACUGGUUCCAGGGCCAGCGUUACACCCGGUUCUGCAGCUGGUGGGCCAGACCCAUGGAGCAGCUGGAGAAUGACUGGAGAGAGAUGGAGCUCAUGUGUGGAGCGCUGAGCAGUAAUCACAUCUAAUACUCAAGCGGGGAUAAAGAGAGGAGCCUGGAGAAGCACGGUGCUGCUCUGCACUGAGACACAGGAAGGCAGUCAGACAGACAGGCAGGCUGGCCGGCAGGCAGGCUGGCUGGCUCACUCGCGUCCACACAGCCAGGAGGAGGACGCAACUCUUACUGGCCGCGGUAGAGGAAGAGGGACAACCGGAGGAGGGCAGGAGAGAGAUGGCAGAGACCCUGCUAACUGCCCUGACAGACAGACAGCAGCACAGACAGACCUGGAGAGACAGGUGCCAUUCCAGCCUGGCCCAGACCCUGCCCCCAGAAGAGGCCCCCGUGGACCGGCCGUUUUGGGCUGACGACGACCCCAGCAUGCCUCUGCCCUUUGACCUGGCUGACAUCAUCAACAGGGUGGAGUCACUCCUCUGGAGGAUGUGAUGGAUGGGACACAAAGAAAAGAGAAGGAGAAAGAGAGCGAGAGAGUCACCCCGUCAUCUGAACAGCCUCUAUCGUGAGGACAGACGACAGAGGAGGAGAACAGGACCUACCAACUCCUGAUGGUGUCAACGUCCUCCAAUGGGGGUAGACUUCCCCACCCCAGCCCACCCUGGACCCCUCCCAACCCUGUACCUCGCCCCACCCCGCCCAAACCAGUCUCAUCUAUCUUUGCUUGGAUUGACUCAACAUGGCUGCAACAUGAGGAUGGAACCCUGAGUAGUGCUUUGCUAACAUGCUAUAGCUGGUAUUGGAACUUGUCUCACAAUGGUAACGUGGAUAACCUGCAGAAUUAAAACUGAAUGUGUAGGAAUGUAUUAUUUCAAUCAAUGUUCUGUUUCUUUUCUACAUUUAACCAGCUUUGUGUAUGGAUAUGACAAAUAGUCAUACAGAUGUAGGAUCAUAAUUUGACCAGUUUCUCACAGCAGCAACAGGAAAUUACAACAGAUUAUAAUUAAUGGCCAUUUUUGUAGGGGUUGAAAUUUCCUGCAACAACAGGGUGAUCAAAUUAAAAUCCUAUAUCUGUAGUAGAUUUAUACUUUCUGUUUCUAACUCAAUGUUGUUCUAAUUAUACUGUUGUAUCCUAAUGUCCAUUCACUUCCUGUAUUUCACAACUUUCUUGUUCAGAAUCUCCCAGGGCAUGACUGUGUUACUAAGAUGUGUGUGUGUGUGUGUGUGUGUGUGUGUGUGUGUGUGUGUGUGUGUGUGUGUGUGUGUGUGUGUGUGUGUGUGUGUGUGUGUGUGUGUGUGUGUGUGUGUGUGUGUGUGUGUGUGUGUGUGUGUGUGUGUGUGUGGUUGAAUGUAUGCCACGGCAGUAUUUACAGUAUGUGAUAUUGUAUAUGUGUGAAGCAGUAUGAUAGGGAUAGGGCCUGUAGCAGGGCUGGGAGAUGUUUGUGUUAGAGAGGAAAGGACAUGAGAGUCCAGUAGGCAGGUCUCUGUCUGCAGGCAUGUCUCUAGUCUGCUCUGUAGCGCUGAAAGGCAGCCCAGGCAGACAGCUACUGUAGGGCUGAAAGGCAGCCCAGGCAGACAGCUACUGUAGGGCUGAAAGGCAGCCCAGGCAGACAGCUACUGUAGGGCUGAAAGGCAGCCCAGGCAGACAGCUACUGUAGCGCUGAAAGGCAGCCCAGGCAGACAGCUACUGUAGCGCUGAAAGGCAGCCCAGGCAGACAGCUACUGUAGGGCUGAAAGGCAGCCCAGGCAGACAGCUACUGUAGGGCUGAAAGGCAUCCCAGGCAGACAGCUACUGUAGGGCUGAAAGGCAGCCCAGGCAGACAGCUAAUGUAGGGCUGAAAGGCAGCCCAGGCAGACAGCUAAUGUAGGGCUGAAAGGCAGCCCAGGCAGACAGCUACUGUAGGGCUGAAAGGCAGCCCAGGCAGACAGCUACUGUAGGACUGAAAGGCAGCCCAGGCAGACAGCUACUGUAGGACUGAAAGGCAGCCCAGGCAGACAGCUACUGUAGGGCUGAAAGGCAGCCCAGGCAGACAGCUACUGUAGGGCUGAAAGGCAGCCCAGGCAGACAGCUACUGUAGGACUGAAAGGCAGCCCAGGCAGACAGCUACUGUAGGGCUGAAAGGCAGCCCAGGCAGACAGCUACUGUAGGGCUGAAAGGCAGCCCAGGCAGACAGCUACUGUAGGGCUGAAAGGCAGCCCAGGCAGACAGCUACUGUAGGGCUGAAAGGCAGCCCAGGCAGACAGCUACUGUAGGGCUGAAAGGCAGCCCAGGCAGACAGCUACUGUAGGGCUGAAAGGCAGCACAGGCAGACAGCUAAUGUAGGGCUGAAAGGCAGCCCAGGCAGACAGCUAAUGUAGGGCUGAAAGGCAGCCCAGGCAGACAGCUACUGCAGGGCUGAAAGGCAGCCCAGGCAGACAGCUACUGCAGGGCUGAAAGGCAGCCCAGGCAGACAGCUACUGCAGUAGGGCUGAAAGGCAGCCCAGGCAGGCAGUUUGUGUAGGGCUGAAAAGCAGCCCAGGCAGGCAGUUUGUGUAGGGCUGAAAAGCAGCCCAGGCAGGCAGUUUGUGUAGGGCUGAAAGGCAGCCCAGGCAGACAGUUUGUGUAGGGCUGAAAGGCAGCCCAGGCAGGCAGUUUGUGUAGGGCUGAAAGGCAGCCCAGGCAGGCAGUUUGUGUAGGGCUGAAAGGCAGCCCAGGCAGGCAGUUUGUGAAGGGCUGAAAGGCAGCCCAGGCAGGCAGUUUGUGUAGGGCUGAAAGGCAGCCCAGGCAGACAGCUAUUAUAAUGUGUGGCUGAUAGAAGGAUCCCCGUCCUAACUGCCACUCUCUCUUCAUAAUUGCAGCUGUUCAAUGGCUUUUAAUUAGUCUUAAAGCGUGUUGAGCACCACUUUCCCUGUAUCGCUGCAGGCCAGAAACUCAGAUCCACGGCUUCUGACAAAACCAACCAGGAAAGAGAAGCUAUGGGUGAAAUGUGAUGGUUGUCAAAGCCAAGCAGAGCAGCCUUCUUUUUUCUUUUUUGGUAACACUUUAUUUCAGGGAUCAUCAACUAGAUUCAGCCACGGGACGAAUUACAAAUGAUUUGUAGACUGCAAAUUUACCCCAAGAAGCCCAACCAGAUAUAAUAUUUGACUAUAACGUAAUCAUUUCAAACCUUGCUUAUAUUUGUACACGAUUAAUUGUCUCUCUAUUAUGCGUGGGAAUACUUGGGAAUUAUAGAAAAGUAAUUCUUAUUUUAUUUAUUUUUUGCUUAGAAAACCUGGGUGUGAAAUAAAACCAACAACGGCUACCAGUUGUGCAGCUGCUUUCUUUGACCUGGCCACCAUAAUGCCUUUAUAACAAUGCUGUAAACAUGUCAUAACGCUUCAUAGCUUGUGUCAUUGUGAUAACUGAAGCUUAAUGGCAUGUGUUGACAAGUUAUGACUCGUGGUAUGAAGCUUUAUAGCAUGGUCAGGACAUUUUUAUGAAGGUUAUGAAGAGAUCAUGGUGUUUAGUUCAAAUGAAGUGUUACCAAUUUCUUUAUAUAUCUAUCUAUAUCAACAGGAAGUAGAACUGAUAUAUAGUGCUAAAAAUGUUUUUUUUUACUUCUGGAAGUUUUUCCAAUUUCAAAUGUUAACGAUUGCCAAAAUGUUGUUCUCUUGCUUAAUAUUUUUGUAUCUUGACUGAGGUUGAGAUUGUAGACUGGCUGUAUUGUUGAGUUGAACAACUAUGUGCUCUCUGUUUCACAGCUCAGCUUGUCUGUCUGAAGCUUUAGGAAGGCAGUAAAUAAACCAAGACAGUGUUUUAUGACCCUC